This 471-nucleotide ribosomal RNA is filed under the name uncultured bacterium. RNAcentral describes it as "bacterial SSU rRNA". It matches the Rfam family "Bacterial small subunit ribosomal RNA", at positions 355 to 825 of the family's 1533-position model. The record is from RNAcentral.
UGGGGAAUAUUGGACAAUGGGCGAAAGCCUGAUCCAGCCAUGCCGCGUGUGUGAAGAAGGUCUUCGGAUUGUGAAGCACUUUAAUGAGGGAGGAUUAGGAUGCGUUGAAUAGACGUGUCUGAGGACGUUACCUCAAGAAUAAGCACCGGCUAACUCUGUGCCAGCAGCCGCGGUAAUACAGAGGGUGCGAGCGUUAAUCGGAAUUAUUGGGCGUAAAGGGAGCGUAGGUGGUUUGUUAAGUUGGAUGUGAAAGCCCCGGGCUCAACCUGGGAACUGCAUCCAAAACUGGCAAGCUAGAGUACGGUAGAGGGUGGUGGAAUUUCCUGUGUAGCGGUGAAAUGCGUAGAUAUAGGAGGAACACCGGUGGCGAAGGCGCCGCUCUGGGCCGAAACUGACGCUGAGGAGCGAAAGCAUGGGUAGCAAACAGGAUUAGAUACCCCCGUAGUCCCUGAGCGGGCUGGCAAGGCGCAU